This 913-nucleotide ribosomal RNA is filed under the name Exorista sorbillans. Its description in RNAcentral is "partial 16S rRNA". Lineage: Eukaryota; Metazoa; Arthropoda; Insecta; Diptera; Tachinidae. The record is from RNAcentral.
UAAAAUUAUUUUAAAUAAUAUAUUAGAAAUGAAAUGUUAUUCGUUUUUAAAGGUAUCUAGUUCUUUAAGAAAUAAAUUUAAUUUAUAAAUUUUAUAUUAUUUAAUUUAAUAUAUUAAUUAAAUAAAUAUUUAAUUUUAAUAUUUUAUGGGAUAAGCUAUAAAAUAAAUUUUUAAAAAUUAAUAAAUAAAUUAAUAAAUAUAAACUUAAAAAUAGUUAUUGUUAAUAAAAAUGUUAUAAUUUAUUUUUUAAAAAUAUUAUUUAUUUUGAUUUUAAAUUUUUAUUAAAGUAUUUAUUUUAAUAUAAAAAGUAAAAUAAUAAUGAUAAAAUUAGUAUAUUUUUAUGUAAAUAUAAAUUUAAUUGAUAAGUUUUUUUAAAGAACUCGGCAAAAAUAAUGUUCGCCUGUUUAACAAAAACAUGUCUUUAUGAAUUACAUUUAAAGUCUAGCCUGCCCACUGAAAUAAAAUUUAAAUGGCCGCAGUAUUUUGACUGUGCAAAGGUAGCAUAAUCAUUAGUCUUUUAAUUGAAGGCUGGAAUGAAUGGUUGGACGAAAUAUUAACUGUUUCAUUAAAAUUUUUAUUAGAAUUUUAUUUUUUAGUUAAAAAGCUAAAAUUUAUUUAAAAGACGAGAAGACCCUAUAAAUCUUUAUAUUUAAAUUAUUGUAAUUUUUUAGAAUUGUUUUAUUAUUAUAAUUAAUAAUAUUUUAUUGGGGUGAUAUUAAAAUUUGAUAAACUUUUAAUUUAUUAUAUCAUUAAUUUAUGAAUAUAUGAUCCGUUAUUAACGAUUAAAAAAUUAAGUUACUUUAGGGAUAACAGCGUAAUUUUUUUGGAGAGUUCAUAUCGAUAAAAAAGAUUGCGACCUCGAUGUUGGAUUAAGAUAUAAUUUUAGGUGUAGCCGCUUAAAUUUUAAGUCUGU